AUGGCCCUGGUUGUCCUGGCACCCCUGGUGGGACUGGCAGACUUUGGUCAUGCCCAAAAGGACUCUGUGCUCCAGUUCCCAGCAGAAAUGACCAUCCAGGUGAGACACAGCACAACUCUGCACUGCAAUUUCUCCACCAGCGAUCUUGAUCCCUACAUCUACUGGUACCAGCAGCGCCAGACCCAGUCCCCUCAGAUGCUGCUGUGGGUGAACAAGUACAAAGCUCGUGUGGAUUCAGGGAGGUUCUCCUCCAAGCUGUCUGCAGAGAACUCCCAGGUGCUUCUGCAUGUGCGGGAUGCGGAGCUCCAGGACAGCGCUGCCUAUUUCUGUGCACUGAGCCCACACGGGUGCCCACAGCUUGCAGCACUGCACGGAAACGUGGAGGGUGCUCUGAGGAGCGGUUUCCUCCCCACCACUGCUUGCAUGUAG
Cariama cristata (Red-legged seriema) is the source of this 429-nucleotide non-coding RNA. NCBI's taxonomy places the organism in Eukaryota, Metazoa, Chordata, Aves, Cariamiformes, Cariamidae. The record is from the annotation of a RefSeq genome assembly.